GAGAAUCCAUUCCACCGAAAGCCUAAGGGUUCCUGAGCAACGAUCGUCGUCUCAGGGUAAGUCGGGACCUAAGCCGAGGCGGAAUAGCGUAGGCGAUGGACAACAGGUUGAAAUUCCUGUACCGGUGUGAAUCGUUUGAUCGAUGGAGUGACACAGUAAGGUAGGUCAGCACGCGAUUGGAAGAGCGUGUUUAAGCAGGUAGGUUGAGCUAUAGGCAAAUCCGUAGCUCUAAAAGCUGAGAUGUGAUGACGAGUGACUAGCAAUAGUCGCGAAGUGAUUGAUCCUACACUGUCGAGAAAAGCUUCUAGGUAGAGACACAUCGCCCGUACCAAAACCGACACAGGUAGGCGGGGAGAGAAUCCUAAGGUGCGCGGGAAAACCCUCGUUAAGGAACUCGGCAAAAUGCCUCCGUAACUUCGGGAAAAGGAGGACUCAUGUAGUGUGAAGAGCAGAAACGCUUGGAGCAUGAAUGAGUGGCACAAGAGAGGCGCAAGCGACUGUUUACCACAAACACAGGUGCCUGCUAAAGCGAAAGCUGAUGUAUAGGUGCUGACACCUGCCCGGUGCUGGAAGGUUAAGAGGAGGGGUUAGACUUCGGUCGAAGCUCUGAAUUGAAGCCCCAGUAAACGGCGGCCGUAACUAUAACGGUCCUAAGGUAGCGAAAUUCCUUGUCGGGUAAGUUCCGACCCGCACGAAAGGUGUAACGACUUGCGCACUGUCUCAACGAGGGACCCGGUGAAAUUGAAGUACCUGUGAAGAUGCAGGUUACCCGCGACUGGACAGAAAGACCCCAUGGAGCUUUACUGCAACCUAAGAUUGAACUUAGUUAAUGAAUGUACAGGAUAGGUGGGAGACGUAGAACCUAGGACGCCAGUUUUAGGGGAGUCGCUGUUGGGAUACCACCCUUUCAUUAAUUGAUUUCUAACGGGCCGAGUAACGACCGGCCGGACAGUCUUAGGCGGGCAGUUUGACUGGGGCGGUCGCCUCCAAAAGAGUAACGGAGGCGCCCAAAGGUUCCCUCAGAGCGGACGGAAAUCGCUCGAAGAGUGUAAAGGCAGAAGGGAGCUUGACUGCGAGACGGACAGGUCGAGCAGGGACGAAAGUCGGGCUUAGUGAUCCGGUGGUGCCGAGUGGAAGGGCCAUCGCUCAACGGAUAAAAGCUACCCUGGGGAUAACAGGCUAAUCUCUCCCAAGAGUCCAUAUCGACGGGGAGGUUUGGCACCUCGAUGUCGGCUCAUCACAUCCUGGGGCUGAAGUAGGUCCCAAGGGUUCGGCUGUUCGCCGAUUAAAGUGGUACGUGAGCUGGGUUCAGAACGUCGUGAGACAGUUCGGUCCCUAUCCAUCGCGGGCGCAAGAAACUUGAAGGGGGCUGCUCCUAGUACGAGAGGACCGGAGUGGACGAACCGCUGGUGUACCAAUUAUCCUGCCAAGGGUACAGUUGGGUAGCUACGUUCGGGACGGAUAAACGCUGAAAGCAUCUAAGCGUGAAACCAGCCUUGAGAUGAGGUUUCUCAUAGCAAAAGCUAGUAAGAUCCCAUGUAGACGACAUGGUAGAUAGGCCAGGUGUGGAAGAGCCGUGAGGUUUGGAGCUGACUGGUACUAAUCGAUCGAGGGCUUUACUU
RNAcentral lists this ribosomal RNA (1622 nucleotides) under human gut metagenome. RNAcentral's name for it is "bacterial LSU rRNA". It matches the Rfam family "Bacterial large subunit ribosomal RNA", at positions 1323 to 2925 of the family's 2925-position model. The record is from RNAcentral.